This 3536-nucleotide long non-coding RNA is filed under the name Homo sapiens (human). Its description in RNAcentral is "non-protein coding NFIA-AS2:8". The record is from RNAcentral. Lineage: Eukaryota; Metazoa; Chordata; Mammalia; Primates; Hominidae.
AUAUUCUUUCACAGGCAAGCAAGGACCCAGGGCUGUGCUCAAGCUGGGCUACAAGGGCUGGACCAGGGUCUGGGGUUGGGCAUAGGUUGGGCUGACUUGCAGUUGCUGGCCUUGGAGAAAGGAGAAGCAAAGCCACUGUGAUUGGAGGAAGGAGAUUCAGGAAGCAAGGACAGCUCUUAGUGUCAGUUCCAAUGGUUGGGUAUGAGAAAGAGGGAGUAAAAACUGGGGCUUCAAGAAGGCAGGGACUAUAGUUGUAUUUCCUCCCAGUGUAUUCACAGUGCAUCUGGUUCACCAAAGGUAAGAUCAACCAUUGCUGAACUUAACAAUUUGCUUCCUCCCUUUGUAGUCAAUUGUGGUGAUAUCUCUAAAUGCACAUAUUAUUUUACACCAAGUAUUUGAGCAUUGUCUGGGAAUCAGGUGUUUAUUCCACUUUGGAGUAUUUCUUCAUGUAUUUUUUGCCUUCUCUAUGACAUUUUAAACCCGUCUAACACACACAUGUACCUGUACUGCAUAGCAGGUACAACCACAGUCUCCUCUGGGGUUAGGCUGCCUGUUGCAUCUGUAAAAUGGAGCUAUCAAUAGUGAGAUCGACUAUGUAAAGCACUUAAAACUGCACCUGGUCUACAUUAAGUGCUCAAUAAACUUGAGCAAUUAUCAUGAUUAGUCACUAAUACAUGUGAGCGGUGUAGGUCUCACAGAUAUCUGUGACACAUUCCAAAACCCUCCUCACUUGUUCCUGAACUAUUCUUUUUUUAAACAGGAGUUGGCCCCAGCCCUGUUCUGAUCUGCAUGUUCUUUGUGAAGUCUGCCUUCAGCUCUUUUGGUCUAGUGUUAGGACUUUAUCUCCUAUGUGUCUGGCUUUCAGCUCUCUGUAAAUAUUGGCUUGGCCUAGUCCUGUAUUUCUUACCAUUCCAGAUGGCUUCAAGUAAGCUGUCAGUUCACAUCUGGCCUCUUGAAUUGCCACCUGGAAUCCCUGUUCUGACACUGUUGCACUGGUCAGCCCUCUAUCCAAGUGAAGUCGUCCCAGUGGUGCACUGGAGUGGAUUGCAACUGCUCAUGAGGGCCAACUGUUAAAAGCUACAGAAAUUUUGUAAGCUGGUCGUCAAACACAGCCACUAUUAAAAAUUAAAUGACUCUCAAGGUGACUUCAUCCAUGGCGGCUGUGUGGCAGCGAGCUACUUGCGCAUCUCUUCUGUUCCGUGAGGUCAUGUUGGCAGCUUGAAAUUGAUCAAGUGGGAAGCAUUUACAUCACAGAAAUUGAUACCAUGAAAGGAUUUGAGCGUUUUUUUAUGUGAAUCCAAAGAUGACAUUUACAAAAGGUGGAGAAGCAGUUCCCUACUGAGGGACGUGGAUACAAAAAGCAGAUGACACAACACAUCCCAUAGAGUUCCCAGGGAAGAAUGAACCCAGAUUCUUGACCUGCAGAGGUGGCGUACUGGCUGGAGAAAUCUCUGGCUGGCGACCGUGCUAUUCUGUCUGUCCACCUAACUGUGGGCUCCCAGAUCACCACUGCCAUGGGCAGGGGGCCGUGGGGUGGGCCUGCUUGGGGUGACAGGCUAGCUGUGCUCCCAUAGCAGAGGUGGGAGAAGGGAAUCACAUCUGGUGAGCAGCUAUGUCGUGCCAGGCACUGUGCUGUGUAUUGCACACAUCUCAAACCUUGUGACAAAUGUGUAAGAUAUUUUUUAUGUAUUACAAAUGAAGGAACUGGGCUCAGAAAAGCUCCAUUAUUUGCCCAAAUUGCAGCAGUAAUGCAGGAAUUUGAAUCCACAUUAAUCUGACUCCACAACCCAUGUUCUUUCACUGAAUUCCCAUAUCCUUGUUCCCCCUACUGUCCUCACUGGUCAAGGUGAGCUUGGUCUUCCACAAACAGGCUAGAAAAGUAUGCUUACUUAUCUUUAGCUUUAUGCUUUUAAACUAAUUCUUAAAAAUCUUCUCUGGAUAAGUCAAAGACAAUGGGAAUGUGUAUUUCUAAUACAUUAAUUAUAAUACAUUACCGGUUUACACAAUGCCAUCACCUUGUCAUUUUCUUUGACACAACGUCCCCCUCCCCUCUAGUUUAUAAAUGAGGACAUUGAGGCACAAAGUGGGUAAGUGACUUGCCCAAGGGGGAGAUUUGUCCAAUCAUAAAGAUGGGCCUGAACUUUUUCUACUUUGCAUUCUUACUUGAAAGGCAGGAAACAUAUGCUCAAGAGGGAGAUCUCACGAAAUUUCAUGUCAUAUAGUGCUCUCGCUAAUUUAAUCCUGUCAUUCCUGGUUAUAUCCCUUUGGAAAAACCACCACCAGUGCCUUCUCUUUUGAUAUAUUUACAGUAAAAAUAUUCCCUGUACAAACCAUCUCACUCUUUCACAGGGAACUGGCUUGGCCCUCUCCCCUGAAGUGGGUUGCACAUCCACCCAGCCCACCCCCAGCUCACUCUAGCUCCCUUCCUGUUAGAAUUUAUUCAGAACCUCCAUUUCUAGGAGGAAGCAAGGAGGGGGCAGUUAUCUUCGUGGACUUGGGUCCUCCUGGACCCUUUGUCCUCAUGGUUAUGUUUCAAACAGAGUUGAGGGCUCCCUAAAGGGGAAAGAUUAUUUAAGUUUUGUAAAUGCUGCCCUCCAAAAACCACUCCACAUAAAUGUUUCAUGGCUUAGCCUCUGUGAGGCCAGAGCUGGAACAUUCAGCUGUGAGGGUGUUUAUAUUUGUGGAACUCUCUUGAACAUUUGCUGUGGGUUUUAAACAGCUGCUAUGCUGAAGCUCUGGGGAUAGGAAGAUCAUGAAUAUUCAGGUGAAGCCACCAGAAUGAACAGCCGUUAAUAGAAUAAAUGCCUAAACAGUUGUGUAAGGCUUAUUAAGACCUAUUGGGGCUGAGAUAAUAAAUUCCCACUCUGACAUGUUGCAACUACUGUCGCUUAAACACUUUGGACCACCUCUUCUGAACUGAAGGAAAAAAUGAUGUUAGUUCUCUGCGCGAAUACAAAGAAACACCUGGAAGCCUUGGCAAGGGGAUGAGAUUUGGCAGAGAUCUUUCCGUGUACCGAUGCAUCCUCAGGAAAAUGAUGUGCCGCUCAUUGUUCCUGUUGUCAAGGUUAUCGCAGUCGACUUCAGGCUGGAACGGGCAUUGCUCUUGCACUGAAGAAAGUCUGUCCUGACUCCCUCAGAGUGCCUCAACAUCAACCAAGAGCCACCGUGAACCUCUGGGGCACUGAGCCUGGCCACCAGCACCCCCACCCCAGCCCAUAUGGCCUGGGCCUCUCCCUUGAUGUUUAAAGGAGAUGAUAAAAAUGCUGCAACCCAGAUAAUGAUCACCUUACUCUUCAAAAAUACUGCCCAAGGAAGGGAAGAUACACACAGAGGAGAAGGUGGUGUGAAGAUGGAAGCCAAGACUGUUGAUACCAGUUGGAGAGCACCAAGAACUACCCGCAGCCACUGAAAGCUAGGAGAGAGGCAUAGGACUGUCUCCUUCAGACCCUCCAGAAAGACCAAACCUGCCCGUGCCUUGAUUUCAGACUUUUGGCCUCCCACAUUGUGAGAGAAUAAAAUUUUGUUUUUGAAGCCAU